Long non-coding RNA from Onychostoma macrolepis, 2190 nucleotides. RefSeq lists it as uncharacterized. The record is from RefSeq and is a predicted model, not a curated record. The transcript is spliced from 4 exons. Lineage: Eukaryota; Metazoa; Chordata; Actinopteri; Cypriniformes; Cyprinidae.
GGCUCAGAAAUGUUGCAAGGGUAUCGUUAAAAUGGUCCAUGUGACAUCAGUGGUUCAACCGCAAUUUUAUGAAGCUACGAGAAUACUUUUUGUGCGCAAAGAAAACUAAAAUAACUUUAUUCAACAAAUACAAUUGAAACACUGUUGUCACAUGGACCAUUUUAUCAAUGUCCUUACUGCGUUUCUAGGCCUUGAACUUUUCAGUUCCCUUGCUGUCUAUGAAGGGUCAGAGAGAUCUCAGAUUUCAUCUAAAAUAUCUUAAUUUGUGUUCAGAAGAUGAAUAAAGGUCUUACAAGUUUGGAACGACAUGAGGGUGAGUAAUUAAUGAUAGAAUUUUCAUUUUUGGGUGAACUAUCUCUUUAACUUUAGUUCAACCUGGUAUACUUUGCAAAUGACAACAUGUUAAAUAAAUUGAAAUUUUAUCCACUGAACUGUGGAUGUGCAGACUUACAAAGUACAAUUAAAACCUAACAUUAAAGGUAACAACACCCAACCAAAAUUCAUUUUUACAAUUAUACAACACAUGGACGAUGGACAAUAAUCUCUAUGUAAUCGGGUAAUUUUUUUAAUCUCUGAACCUUUGUUUAAAGUUUCAGUGGAUCCAGCUCCAGGAAAAGACCUCCAAAGUAUAUUUAAAAGGUUAGUUCACCCAAAAAAGAAAUAUGGUUGAAAUAAGGUCAGUUCGUAUUUCAACGUUGAAACAACGUUGAAACAAUGUUUAAUGGUUGAAAACCAACACGGUACAUGACCAACCUUCAACGUUGAAAUAUGGUUGAAAUAAUGACAGUUGUUGUUUCAAUGUUGAAACUACGUUGAAAUAAUGUUUAAUGCUAAAUGGUUGAAAAAGGGUAAUAAAAACACUUAUAAAUCAACUUUGAUUUUUUUUUUUUUUUUUAAGAUCUGUAUGUUGAAUCACUUAAUGUAUGUACAGAAUAAAUAAUUUCUGUUAUUAUUAAGAUCGUUAUUAUUAUUUUAUUAUCAUUUUACAUUUUUAUCAUGAAACCUUCUGGUAUAACUAUUAUCAACAACAAUAAAACUAAACACAUUGCGCUUCCUUACCACGCUGAAACAAUUCCUAUUGGUUAUUUAACUUAUUUGCUUUGAUCAUGAUUGGUUAAUCUGGCUGUCAUUCAUGAAACUGGCCAAUGAAACUGUGCGCGCCAUUUUAAGUUUGAAAAUAUGACCGUUAUCCUGACCGUCUUUCUGAGUGAGGUCGCUGUGAGUGAGAGAGCUGCUGCGCAAUAAAACUGCUAGGUCGGUCCCGAAUUAUAAUUAUUGUAUAAAAAACAUACCAUCAAAUUUCUAAUUUUAUGUACUGGUACUAUUUAUGUAAACGCUGCGUAACUUUCAUGUGUUUGAUGGAUGCGCGCGUUGAACAUUCGAGGCGCUUUUAAACUGGAGUGGAAGGAGUUUCCAUGGAAACCGGCCGGCAACUCAGCUGACAAGUAGCAAAAAAAAUCCGUCUCUCACUGUUGUUUUUACUGCUUUCAGAAAUGGUUCAGUGUCAUCGGAAAAAGUUCGUUAGCAUCACAGAGGCUAACUAGAAGAGAUUGUUUAUGUUCCUAUAUUCUUCCAUGCUGAUGGCCGUGCAACAGAGUUGGAGGGGACCUCUUGUCGAAGAACAUCUCCAAGACACUAUGAGCAUCUGACUAGCUUUUUGUGAAGACAGAAAAUCAAGAGAUGUUGUGACAACCUGGACAGAAUUCAGCUCCGGAUCCACCCUCCACACCAGACUUCUCACUCACUCACUCACUCACUCACUCACUCACUCACUCACAAGGACUGCUGUCUACUAGCAUAUUGUGUUCUCUUCAGAGUUAGGUGCAUGGAGAUAUUAGCUAAUUUUUAGGUAUAAUGAAAACUAUAUCAUAUAUAUAUAUAUAUAUAUAAUAUAUAUAUCUUGGAUCCAAGAUGGCGGCGCGAUCAGACGCGGCGGCUGCUCCAGGUCCCAAAGACGGUGCUUUUUUGUCUUUUAAUGUCGUCUGUUCGUCUCCAAAUAGUGUAAAUUUACCGCUAGUUCAUAAGGAAAUCACUCCUAAACUCAAAUAUGUUCGCCAAAGACUUUUGGAUAUCGGCAACGCAUACAAAGACCAACACUCGCUGGCGGCUACUGAGAAGCUACGAGGCCUCUGUUUACUGCUGAAGCCGGACCUCGAGACCGCGGCCUCGCCUACUGUCGCUACCCGCACA